Molecule: long non-coding RNA, 2589 nt
Filed under: Callithrix jacchus (white-tufted-ear marmoset)
Lineage: Eukaryota; Metazoa; Chordata; Mammalia; Primates; Cebidae
Description: lncRNA (ENSCJAG00000085764.1)
Source: RNAcentral
GCGUGUGGUGCAUUUGAAGGGGUGAGGGAGGCCGGGUGUGGCGGCUCAAGCCUGUAAUCCCGGCACUUUGGGAGGCUGAGGCAGGUGGAUCACGAGAUCAAGAGAUCUAGACCAUCCUGGUCAAAAUGGUGAAACCCCGUCUCUACUAAAGAUACAAAAAAUUAGCUGGGCAUGGUGGCGCGUGCCUGUAAUCCCAGCUACUCAGGAGGCUGAGGCAGGAGAAUUGCCUGAACCCAGGAGGCGGAGGUUGCGGUGAGCCGAGAUCGCGCCAUUGCACUCCAGCCUGGGUAACAAGAGCGAAACUCCGUCUCAAAAAAAAAGAAAAAAGAAGGGUGACGGGAGCAGAGUGUGUGCUCAGGAGUGAGGACUUCAGACUUUAUUCCAGGGAAGGGAAAACUAUAAAUGGGGUUGCAGUAGAGAAGUAGAGUGAUAUAGUUUUGCCGUGAAAGAAAGAUCAACAUGGAGUAUGAAUCAAUGAAGGGAGGAGCACAUUGUAGACGCCUAUUUGUUCCAAAAUUCUGACAUAGCCACAUUUGAGCAAGGAUCCAGGAAUAUAUUCCUUCAAAGAAAAAAACAUUUUCCAGGAAAAAAGUUGAGAAUACUUGGAAAUUUAAGGAAUUAUAAAAAUAUCUUUGUCUUGGGACUCCCAGCAGGCUGGACCGAUUCAGAUGGUCCCCAUUUUAAAGAAUGUGAAACGAAAAGAUCACGGAGGCCUGGUGUGUUGCAUGUUAGGAAUGAACCAUCCACCUCCCCUCCUAGACAAAAGGCUUCUACUGACUUCAGAAGAGUGACUGAUUCUGCCAGAAGCUGUUUCUGCCUAUGUGGGGUUUUCAGAGCUAAAAAUAGCAAAGAUGAUAAAAAUAUUGUAUGUAAGUGACGAAUACUAUACAAUGAUCACAUCCUAGUCAAUUAUCGUAUCCCAACAGUAGCCUGGUGGGCUGACCACCUUGGCUCUGGUUUUAUAAGUGGCCAAAAAUUUGUCUGUGCCUUAAGUGCUGCCUCUAUAGAAGUAUUUAAUUCAGAAAAUUAAUACAGGUGAUUAAAUAGUGUUUACCUUUCACUCCCACAAAAUGCAACCAUUUGGAUACCUGUUAUAUGGGAAAGAUUACUGAACAGAGCACUCUAGAAUUGGAUCUCACUUUCUUACUGAGCAUUUGCUUUUUCCAUAUUGUAUAACCUCUCAGAGACCUGGUUUCCUUAAUGCUUGGCACCUGAAAUGUCAGUAUCAGUAAUUAUAUGAAUGAAUGAAUGAACAAAUGAAUGAAUGAAUGACUAUUAGCUCCCCCCGCCUAUUAGGAUUUUGGCAAGUACCGUUUCAGAAACGAUGGUCAAAAUGUUUACAAACUGAACAAUAUCAUUAAAAAAAUGUAACGUGUUGUUAUUGUUAAAAUCAAUAAUAAUAAUAAUGGUAAUCUAAAACUGAUUAUGUAAGAAAAGAAAAAAACCUUGUUUGUGCCAUCAAAAUGCUGCCUCAGAAUCCAAGCUGUUGAUUCCCUAUAUUGUAUUCAUAAAAGAAUCACAAUUUUUUAAAGCUCUUACUAACACAAAACCCAAACACACUUAAACCAUGCUUUUUUGUUGGUUUGUCUUGGUUUGGUUUUUGAGUCAGGGUCAGGCUCUGUCGCUCAGGCUGGAGUUCAGUGGCACGAUCACAGCUCACUGCAGCCUCAACCUUCUGGGCUCAAGCAAUCUUCCCACCUCAGCCUCCUGAGUAACUGGGACCACAGGCAGUGGCCACCACUCCUGGCUAAUUUUGUUGUUGUCAUUGUUAGAGGCAGGGUUUCUCCAUGUUGCCCGGGCUGGUCUCAUACUCCUGUGCUCAAGCAAUCCUUCCGCCUCAACCUCCCAAAGUGCUGGGAUUGCAGGUUUAAGCCACCACACUUGGCCUAAAAUAUGCUUUAAAACUUAAUAAUUUUUUCUAAGAUAGUUUUUUAUUCACAUCAGAAGCAUCAGUUUAGAAGGAUGGGCAAGGUGACCAGAGAAGUGAGAGGUGAGAAUUGAUGCACUGACAGUGAGAAAGAGGACUGGGAAAAAACUGUUGAAACUUCUGGACUCAAGGACCAGACUGUGAUUAUGUAAUGCAGAUGCAAGUAUCCCACUCUUAGAAAACCCUAUGGGUAUCAUUUUAUUACAGCGUUUUGCAACUGAUAUUAAUAGUGAUGACAAAGACCACAUAAUUAGUAUGAGUAUACUCUAGUUAAAAUGCAAAGAAAUGACUAGCACACAUCUUUGGACUAUCUUCCAAUAAAAAUGCUUCUUAAAAAUUUUGGUGCUUUGAAGAGCAAUUCUCAAUUUGUGGUCCAGGAAUAUUACAUCAUUCUAUAUUUCAUUCCUCACGGGUCAGGUUUUCUCUGCCUUAAAGAUUGGUACUAACUCCAAGCAAGUCCUUUCUGUGUCUUCCCUCCCAAACCGGGGACACAUUAGCUAAAGGGUUCACCAAGCAUAGUCCUGGGGAACUGCUAACCUGCUAACCUGCUAACCUGCUAACCUGCUAGAAGACCUCAGAGACAUGGAAGUCCAUUUGUGAGUUCUUAUUGGUGGCUGACUCAUAAUUCUGCAGAACCUUACCAGUUAGAGAGCUAUUUUUAU